UUCUUUCAUUAAGGUGGCGAAUCCUUUCCUCUACUCUUUACUGAGUACUAAAAUAUCUAGAUCUCAUGGUAGUGUUAUGAGAAGAUGAGACCCUAUUCAAUUAUGGAGAAUUCAUGCACCCACAGUUUGGCAACUCAAUUAGGGAUAAAAGAUAUGACCCUAUGUGAUUCUUAUUUUCUAUUUUUGUCUUGUUUGAGAAAUCUAUAUAUUGCAUAGGCACCUUCACACACAUUGAUGCACUAUUAAGCUUUUAGCCCCAUGGUGUGAAUCAAGGAGAUGCUGGUUCUACUCGAGCUAGUGUGAUUUUUAAAG
Molecule: long non-coding RNA, 312 nt
Filed under: Manihot esculenta (cassava)
Lineage: Eukaryota; Viridiplantae; Streptophyta; Magnoliopsida; Malpighiales; Euphorbiaceae
Description: long non-coding RNA (MESC_LNC009602)
Source: RNAcentral